RNAcentral lists this ribosomal RNA (409 nucleotides) under Bacillota bacterium. RNAcentral describes it as "Firmicutes bacterium partial 16S ribosomal RNA". It matches the Rfam family "Bacterial small subunit ribosomal RNA", at positions 355 to 776 of the family's 1533-position model. Lineage: Bacteria; Bacillati; Bacillota. The record is from RNAcentral.
UGGGGAAUAUUGCACAAUGGGCGCAAGCCUGAUGCAGCGACGCCGCGUGAGGGAUGACGGCCUUCGGGUUGUAAACCUCUUUCAGCAGGGACGAAGCGCAAGUGACGGUACCUGCAGAAGAAGCACCGGCCAACUACGUGCCAGCAGCCGCGGUAAUACGUAGGGUGCGAGCGUUGUCCGGAAUUACUGGGCGUAAAGAGCUCGUAGGUGGUUUGUCGCGUUGUUCGUGAAAACUCACAGCUCGACUGUGGGCGUGCGGGCGAUACGGGCAGACUGGAGUACUGCAGGGGAGACUGGAAUUCCUGGUGUAGCGGUGGAAUGCGCAGAUAUCAGGAGGAACACCGGUGGCGAAGGCGGGUCUCUGGGCAGUAACUGACGCUGAGGAGCGAAAGCGUGGGGAGCGAACAGG